Molecule: ribosomal RNA, 496 nt
Filed under: uncultured bacterium
Lineage: Bacteria
Description: partial 16S ribosomal RNA
Rfam family: Bacterial small subunit ribosomal RNA
Source: RNAcentral
GAUGAACGCUGGCGGCGUGCCUAAUACAUGCAAGUCGAGCGAACAGACGAGGAGCUUGCUCCUCUGACGUUAGCGGCGGACGGGUGAGUAACACGUGGAUAACCUACCUAUAAGACUGGGAUAACUUCGGGAAACCGGAGCUAAUACCGGAUAACAUGUUGAACCGCAUGGUUCAACAGUGAAAGACGGUCUUGCUGUCACUUAUAGAUGGAUCCGCGCCGCAUUAGCUAGUUGGUAAGGUAACGGCUUACCAAGGCAACGAUGCGUAGCCGACCUGAGAGGGUGAUCGGCCACACUGGAACUGAGACACGGUCCAGACUCCUACGGGAGGCAGCAGGAGGGAAUCUUCCGCAGUGGGCGAAAGCCUGACGGAGCAACGCCGCGUGAGUGAAGAAGGUCUUCGGAUCGUAAAACUCUGUUAUUAGGGAAGAACAAAUGUGUAAGUAACUAUGCACGUCUUGACGGUACCUAAUCAGAAAGCCACGGCUAACUACGU